Molecule: unclassified non-coding RNA, 304 nt
Filed under: uncultured Phaeosphaeria
Lineage: Eukaryota; Fungi; Ascomycota; Dothideomycetes; Pleosporales; Phaeosphaeriaceae
Description: sequence contains ITS1
Rfam family: 5.8S ribosomal RNA (bases 1-105)
Source: RNAcentral
GAAAUGCGAUAAGUAGUGUGAAUUGCAGAAUUCAGUGAAUCAUCGAAUCUUUGAACGCACAUUGCGCCCCUUGGUAUUCCAUGGGGCAUGCCUGUUCGAGCGUCAUUUGUACCUUCAAGCUUUGCUUGGUGUUGGGCGUUUUGUCUGUUCCUCUGGAAGUAGACUCGCCUUAAAGUAAUUGGCAGCCAGUGUUUUUGGUAGUAAGCGCAGCACAUUUUGCGUCUUCGUCUUCAAACAGCGGCAUCCACAGAGCCUCUUUCUCACUUUUGACCUCGGAUCAGGUAGGGAUACCCGCUGAACUUAA